UUCAUAUCAUUCCGCAAGUAGUCCGGUCAUUUAACUUAACAGACUCAUUGUAAUUUGAAGUCAGCACACUGCAAAAACUGCUUUUCUUACCUAGGCUUAUUAUUCUUAUAUUAAGAUGAAAAAAUCUAGUUGGUCUUGUUUUUAGCAAAAUUGGACUUACCUAGUGUUGUCUUGAUAAGGUUAUUUUUACCUAUGUGAAGCAAAUAUUACUUGCGCUGCCUUGAUAAGCACAUUUGAACUUAAUUUGAGUUCUUUAACACUAGAUAUGAGCACUUUAUCUUAAAAGAAUCCACUUCAAGUGUGGUAGUCUUAUUUUAAGCAAUAGUGUCAAGUUGAAAACGUUUAAUUUCAAGCAUAAAUUCACUUGUUAUUUUCUUAUUGCAUUAAAGGUCAUAAUUCAAGUUAUUUUUUAACUAGAUAUGAGUUUUAACAACCACUUAAUUUGCACCACGUAGUAAAGUGACCUAAAUCACUUAAAAAAACACAGUCAAAUAUACUUGCGAUACUUGUGGAUUACCACUGAUCACAAAAUGCUCAGUCAGAAAUGUUGUCAUAAACCACAAGUUUUCCUCAAACUCGGUGGCAGGAUCGAAUUCACUCGAACGCACCCAACACAUCUCAAACGUCGCUUGAGCUGCAUGCCAGUGAUGUGAACUGAAGCAAGUACAAGAGCUGUGCCUUUCGACUUAAAAAGCUAAAGAUGGAGCAAUUGGACAAGACAACACAGUCACUUCUGGAAGCUGCACAGGCCAUUGCCUUGUUGGAGGCGCUCCC
This is a long non-coding RNA of Clupea harengus (Atlantic herring), 774 nucleotides long. RefSeq lists it as uncharacterized. The transcript is spliced from 3 exons. NCBI's taxonomy places the organism in Eukaryota, Metazoa, Chordata, Actinopteri, Clupeiformes, Clupeidae. The record is from RefSeq and is a predicted model, not a curated record.